AAAGGACCCUCAUGUUCACAAGCUCUCACAACACAAAACAAACUUGUUUCUCUUGUCUGUAUAAUAGCAUUAUAUGUAGAUCUUCUACAAAGGUAUAUUGCCACUGGAGUUGAACCAGCCGUUGCAUGUCUGGUGAAAUCAUAAAUCUAUUUUUUUAAAGAUUCAAAGAUCCCCAAAACUUAACUGCAUUGACUCAACAAAAUAACAUCAAAUUUCUAUCCUGCAUUAUUUUUGCGCGUUCUUCAUCCAGAUUCAUUAUGAUUUCAUAACACCAUGGUAAUCAUACCCUUUCCACAGGAAACAAGAUUGUUGACGUUAUCGCAGUUGGGAUGAUUGACUUAUUCGACUUUUUCCGGUUCUGCUUAUUGCUUAAAGUUUACGGACCAGCCUAUUGCCAAUAUAAUGCUCGAACCCGAUGCUUUCAAUGGGAUGUUGCCAAGACAGACUUGAAAUACUGUUAAAUAAGUAAAGGAAUAACUUUUACUUACUUUCCUUUUGUGUUUUGUUAUUGCAGAAUAUUUCUUCUAUUGUGCUGAGCUGUUGAGUAUAAAUGGAACUUAACUUUAUAUGGAA
Long non-coding RNA from Mangifera indica (mango), 573 nucleotides. RefSeq lists it as uncharacterized. The transcript has 2 exons. Lineage: Eukaryota; Viridiplantae; Streptophyta; Magnoliopsida; Sapindales; Anacardiaceae. The record is from RefSeq and is a predicted model, not a curated record.